This 355-nucleotide ribosomal RNA is filed under the name uncultured bacterium. RNAcentral describes it as "bacterial SSU rRNA". It matches the Rfam family "Bacterial small subunit ribosomal RNA", at positions 8 to 350 of the family's 1533-position model. The record is from RNAcentral.
AGAGUUUGAUCAUGGCUCAGGAUGAACGCUAGCUACAGGCUUAACACAUGCAAGUCGAGGGGAAACGACAUCGAAAGCUUGCUUUUGAUGGGCGUCGACCGGCGCACGGGUGAGUAACGCGUAUCCAACCUGCCCAUCACUUGGGGAUAACCUUGCGAAAGUAAGACUAAUACCCAAUGAUAUCUCUAGAAGGCAUCUGAAAGAGAUUAAAGAUUUAUCGGUGAUGGAUGGGGAUGCGUCUGAUUAGCUUGUUGGCGGGGUAACGGCCACCAAAGCAACGAUCGAGUAGGGGUUCUGAGAGGAAGGUCCCCCANAUUGGAACUGGAGACACGGUCCAAACUCCGUACGGGAGGCA